Ceratotherium simum simum (southern white rhinoceros) is the source of this 103-nucleotide non-coding RNA. NCBI's taxonomy places the organism in Eukaryota, Metazoa, Chordata, Mammalia, Perissodactyla, Rhinocerotidae. The record is from RefSeq and is a predicted model, not a curated record.
UAACCUACGUAAUGGGAGAAAAUAUUGCAAAUCAUAUAUCUGAUCAGGGGCUAAUAUACAAAAUACAUCAAGAACUCAUGAAACUCAACAGCAAGAAAAAGAA